GCAGUUGUGGUUCAGCGGUAGAAUUCUCGCCUUCCGCGUGGGAGACCUGGGUUAGAUUCCCAACCAGUGUG
Molecule: transfer RNA, 71 nt
Filed under: Loxodonta africana (African savanna elephant)
Lineage: Eukaryota; Metazoa; Chordata; Mammalia; Proboscidea; Elephantidae
Rfam family: tRNA
About the family: Transfer RNA (tRNA) molecules are approximately 80 nucleotides in length. Their secondary structure includes four short double-helical elements and three loops (D, anti-codon, and T loops).
Source: Rfam by way of RNAcentral